RNAcentral lists this ribosomal RNA (467 nucleotides) under uncultured bacterium. RNAcentral describes it as "partial 16S ribosomal RNA". It matches the Rfam family "Bacterial small subunit ribosomal RNA", at positions 28 to 507 of the family's 1533-position model. The record is from RNAcentral.
GAUGAACGCUGACAGAAUGCUUAACACAUGCAAGUCAACUUGAAUUUGGGUUUUUAACUUAGGUUUGGGUGGCGGACGGGUGAGUAACGCGUAAAGAACUUGCCUCACAGCUAGGGACAACAUUUGGAAACGAAUGCUAAUACCUAAUAUUAUGAUAAUAGGGCAUCCUAUAAUUAUGAAAGCUAUAAGCGCUGUGAGAGAGCUUUGCGUCCCAUUAGCUAGUUGGAGAGGUAACGGCUCACCAAGGCGAUGAUGGGUAGCCGGCCUGAGAGGGUGAUCGGCCACAAGGGGACUGAGACACGGCCCUUACUCCUACGGGAGGCAGCAGUGGGGGAUAUUGGACAAUGGACCGAGAGUCUGAUCCAGCAAUUCUGUGUGCACGAUGAAGUUUUUCGGAAUGUAAAGUGCUUUCAGUUGGGAAGAAACAAAUGACGGUACCAACAGAAGAAGUGACGGCUAAAUACGUG